RNAcentral lists this ribosomal RNA (144 nucleotides) under Triticum aestivum (bread wheat). RNAcentral describes it as "partial small subunit ribosomal RNA". The record is from RNAcentral. Lineage: Eukaryota; Viridiplantae; Streptophyta; Magnoliopsida; Poales; Poaceae.
AUGUGGAGGAAAGUAGGGGAAAUGGCCGAUACUUUUGGAAGAAUUCCUCUUUGGCUGGUAGGUACUGUAGCUGGUAUUGCUGUGAUUGGUUUAGUAGGUGUAUUCUUUUAUGGUUCAUAUUCUCGAUUGGGUUCAUCUCUAUAG